UACAGAGGGGGCGAGCGUUGUUCGGAAUUACUGGGCGUAAAGGGCGCGUAGGCGGCGACUCUAGUCAGAUGUGAAAGUCCUGGGCUUAACCUGGGGACUGCAUUUGAUACUGGGUUGCUUGAAUUCGGGAGAGGAUAGCGGAAUUCCCAGUGUAGAGGUGAAAUUCGUAGAUAUUGGGAAGAACACCGGUGGCGAAGGCGGCUAUCUGGACCGACAUUGACGCUGAGGCGCGAAAGCGUGGGGAGCAAACAGG
Molecule: ribosomal RNA, 253 nt
Filed under: uncultured bacterium
Lineage: Bacteria
Description: partial 16S ribosomal RNA
Rfam family: Bacterial small subunit ribosomal RNA
Source: RNAcentral